RNAcentral lists this unclassified non-coding RNA (348 nucleotides) under soil metagenome. RNAcentral's name for it is "partial contains 5.8S ribosomal RNA, internal transcribed spacer 2, and large subunit ribosomal RNA". The stretch from base 1 to 120 matches the Rfam family "5.8S ribosomal RNA", at positions 35 to 154 of the family's 154-position model. The record is from RNAcentral.
GAUGAAGAACGCAGCGAAAUGCGAUAAGUAAUGUGAAUUGCAGAAUUCAGUGAAUCAUCGAGUCUUUGAACGCACAUUGCGCCCCCUGGUAUUCCGGGGGGCAUGCCUGUCCGAGCGUCAAUGCCGCCCUCAAGCACGGCUUGUGUGUUGGGCCCCCGCCCCCCGGCUUCGGGGGGCGGGCCCGAAAGGCAGCGGCGGCACCGCGUCCGGUCCUCGAGCGUAUGGGGCUUCGUCACCCGCUCUGUAGGCCCGGCCGGCGCCCGCCGGCGACCCCAAUCAAUCUUUCCAGGUUGACCUCGGAUCAGGUAGGGAUACCCGCUGAACUUAAGCAUAUCAAUAAGCGGAGGA